Molecule: ribosomal RNA, 253 nt
Filed under: uncultured bacterium
Lineage: Bacteria
Description: partial 16S ribosomal RNA
Rfam family: Bacterial small subunit ribosomal RNA
Source: RNAcentral
UACGUAGGGUGCGAGCGUUAAUCGGAAUUACUGGGCGUAAAGUGUGCGCAGGCGGCUUCGCAAGUCGAGUGUGAAAUCCCCGAGCUUAACUUGGGAAUUGCGCUCGAAACUACGGAGCUGGAGUGUGGCAGAGGAAGGUGGAAUUCCACGUGUAGCGGUGAAAUGCGUAGAGAUGUGGAGGAACACCGAUGGCGAAGGCAGCCUGCUGGGCCAACACUGACGCUCAUGCACGAAAGCGUGGGGAGCAAACAGG